This 889-nucleotide ribosomal RNA is filed under the name uncultured Bacillota bacterium. Its description in RNAcentral is "bacterial SSU rRNA". It matches the Rfam family "Bacterial small subunit ribosomal RNA", at positions 28 to 897 of the family's 1533-position model. Lineage: Bacteria; Bacillati; Bacillota. The record is from RNAcentral.
GAUGAACGCUGGCGGCGUGCCUAAUACAUGCAAGUCGAGCGAACAGAUGAGAAGCUUGCUUCUCUGAUGUUAGCGGCGGACGGGUGAGUAACACGUGGGUAACCUACCUAUAAGACUGGGAUAACUCCGGGAAACCGGGGCUAAUACCGGAUAAUAUUUUGAACCGCAUGGUUCAAUAGUGAAAGACGGUUUCGGCUGUCACUUAUAGAUGGACCCGCGCCGUAUUAGCUAGUUGGUAAGGUAACGGCUUACCAAGGCGACGAUACGUAGCCGACCUGAGAGGGUGAUCGGCCACACUGGAACUGAGACACGGUCCAGACUCCUACGGGAGGCAGCAGUAGGGAAUCUUCCGCAAUGGGCGAAAGCUUGACGGAGCAACGCCGCGUGAGUGAUGAAGGUCUUCGGAUCGUAAAACUCUGUUGUUAGGGAAGAACAAAUUUGUUAGUAACUGAACAAGUCUUGACGGUACCUAACCAGAAAGCCACGGCUAACUACGUGCCAGCAGCCGCGGUAAUACGUAGGUGGCAAGCGUUAUCCGGAAUUAUUGGGCGUAAAGCGCGCGUAGGCGGUUUCUUAAGUCUGAUGUGAAAGCCCACGGCUCAACCGUGGAGGGUCAUUGGAAACUGGGAAACUUGAGUGCAGAAGAGGAGAGUGGAAUUCCAUGUGUAGCGGUGAAAUGCGCAGAGAUAUGGAGGAACACCAGUGGCGAAGGCGGCUCUCUGGUCUGUAACUGACGCUGAUGUGCGAAAGCGUGGGGAUCAAACAGGAUUAGAUACCCUGGUAGUCCACGCCGUAAACGAUGAGUGCUAAGUGUUAGGGGGUUUCCGCCCCUUAGUGCUGCAGCUAACGCAUUAAGCACUCCGCCUGGGGAGUACGACCGCAAGGUUGA